AUGCAAGUCGAACGAACUCUGGUAUUGAUUGGUGCUUGCAUCAUGAUUUACAUUUGAGUGAGUGGCGAACUGGUGAGUAACACGUGGGAAACCUGCCCAGAAGCGGGGGAUAACACCUGGAAACAGAUGCUAAUACCGCAUAACAACUUGGACCGCAUGGUCCGAGUUUGAAAGAUGGCUUCGGCUAUCACUUUUGGAUGGUCCCGCGGCGUAUUAGCUAGAUGGUGGGGUAAUGGCUCACCAUGGCAAUGAUACGUAGCCGACCUGAGAGGGUAAUCGGCCACAUUGGGACUGAGACACGGCCCAAACUCCUACGGGAGGCAGCAGUAGGGAAUCUUCCACAAUGGACGAAAGUCUGAUGGAGCAACGCCGCGUGAGUGAAGAAGGGUUUCGGCUCGUAAAACUCUGUUGUUAAAGAAGAACAUAUCUGAGAGUAACUGUUCAGGUAUUGACGGUAUUUAACCAGAAAGCCACGGCUAACUACGUGCCAGCAGCCGCGGUAAUACGUAGGUGGCAAGCGUUGUCCGGAUUUAUUGGGCGUAAAGCGAGCGCAGGCGGUUUUUUAAGUCUGAUGUGAAAGCCUUCGGCUCAACCGAAGAAGUGCAUCGGAAACUGGGAAACUUGAGUGCAGAAGAGGACAGUGGAACUCCAUGUGUAGCGGUGAAAUGCGUAGAUAUAUGGAAGAACACCAGUGGCGAAGGCGGCUGUCUGGUCUGUAACUGACGCUGAGGCUCGAAAGUAUGGGUAGCAAACAGGAUUAGAUACCCUGGUAGUCCAUACCGUAAACGAUGAAUGCUAAGUGUUGGAGGGUUUCCGCCCUUCAGUGCUGCAGCUAACGCAUUAAGCAUUCCGCCUGGGGAGUACGGCCGCAAGGCUGAAACUCAAAGGAAUUGACGGGGGCCCGCACAAGCGGUGGAGCAUGUGGUUUAAUUCGAAGCUACGCGAAGAACCUUACCAGGUCUUGACAUACUAUGCAAAUCUAAGAGAUUAGACGUUCCCUUCGGGGACAUGGAUACAGGUGGUGCAUGGUUGUCGUCAGCUCGUGUCGUGAGAUGUUGGGUUAAGUCCCGCAACGAGCGCAACCCUUAUUAUCAGUUGCCAGCAUUAAGUUGGGCACUCUGGUGAGACUGCCGGUGACAAACCGGAGGAAGGUGGGGAUGACGUCAAAUCAUCAUGCCCCUUAUGACCUGGGCUACACACGUGCUACAAUGGAUGGUACAACGAGUUGCGAACUCGCGAGAGUAAGCUAAUCUCUUAAAGCCAUUCUCAGUUCGGAUUGUAGGCUGCAACUCGCCUACAUGAAGUCGGAAUCGCUAGUAAUCGCGGAUCAGCAUGCCGCGGUGAAUACGUUCCCGGGCCUUGUACACACCGCCCGUCACACCAUGAGAGUUUGUAACACCCAAAGUCGGUGGGGUAACCUUUUAGGAACCAGCCGCCUAAGG
This 1442-nucleotide ribosomal RNA is filed under the name Lactiplantibacillus plantarum. RNAcentral's name for it is "bacterial SSU rRNA". It matches the Rfam family "Bacterial small subunit ribosomal RNA". Lineage: Bacteria; Bacillati; Bacillota; Bacilli; Lactobacillales; Lactobacillaceae. The record is from RNAcentral.